AAAGCAACUAUGUCAAUGGAAGAUAUUAACAUCAAAAUAGGGCAAAAGUAGUAGGAAAUCAGAAAAUUCAAGUAAAAUGAAUCCCAAGAGUAAUUAGCAGUAAACCAUAUGAAGUCAAAGCCCAACUAUCUGUGUAAAUAAAUGAACAGCCAACAUCAAAUAAGACACUUGCUGGUAAGGGUUUACAAGUAUAUAUAAUUAUUAAUGAGAAAAACCCAUAUAUGCACAGGAUUUUUCAGAAGCACCAACAGCAUAUUACAAAUAUAUUUGAAUCCUUUCUUUCUGGAAGGAAGCGACUAAAUUCACAUAAAGUUGCAAAAGUAAAUUCCUCAAGGUUGAAAAAAGGAGAGAGGGAGGGAGAAAGCAACACUCACCAAAACGAUUGACCACAUAUACAG
This 398-nucleotide unclassified non-coding RNA is filed under the name Hevea brasiliensis (rubber tree). Lineage: Eukaryota; Viridiplantae; Streptophyta; Magnoliopsida; Malpighiales; Euphorbiaceae. The record is from RNAcentral.